AGCCCUGGAAUAGAAGUUGGACAGUUUUUAAAGGUCCCUGCGCUCGCCAAGAGAAGGAAAUAGAUGAUGCUCAAGAGUGAAACACCGAGAGAAUCCGAUCUGGCGCCUCCUAACGCAGUUGGCAAGCAGGCGAAGGGGCUGUGUAGAUGGAAUUAACAGAGUCAGAGCAGCUUACAUAUAGCCUGAGUGUCUGGCUUUGGGCAUUUGGGGAAGACUUCUGGUGUAAAGUUCUGCAUCUUCCCGUGCUAGAACCCUAAGGAAACUUGAAAAUAACAGAUCUGGUGAGCUAGAGGACCUUGGACAAGGUGCCCAAACCGAGCCUCCCUUAUCCCAUCUAUAAAAUGGGGGCCAUGUCUACCGUCUAAGAGUUCUAUGAGGAUUCAAUGAACCACUGUUCUACAACUGGGCGGCUGACUGCAUCCCGGGUCCACGUGAUCUGCUGGGCAGAAACCGAGAGAGUCAGCUGUCAUCGCCCGCAGCUGAGGCCUGAGAACGCGCACCCUGCGUGCUCGCCGCAGGGUCUGGGAGACCGCUAUCUGCACCCUGCGCCUUGACAUCAACCUCUGCAUCCGUGUCUCCCACCGCGAAUCGUGCUUAAUGUCUGCCCUGGGCAUGGCAAGGACCCGUCAGCAUAACUUCGCAAGUCCUCACUCGCCUGGGUCAACUUAUCUGCCUGCGCGGACAGCUGGAUGCUCCUACAGGGUUGGAAAGUUGGAUGUUCCUACCAGAGUCCCGACUUCUCAGCCUGGGAGCUGUAUGCUGUGGGAUGACAAUGCCACAAAGCAGCAAUUUUAAUCUCUUUUGUCCACCUCUGUAACCCCACACAUGUCAAUUAGAGCUUGGCCCUCGAUAGUCUCAAUAAAAUAUUUGUUGAAUAAAUGAAUGGAUGAUAUAAAGUGACUGGCGCUCAGUAAGUACCCCAUCAUGGGGUAGCUAUUGCUAAUUUAUUAUUGUGAUUAAAUACUCUGUCUUGGGAAUCCAAUUUGAAAGCAGUAUACUUAGGGAGGGAGAAAUUUAGCAUCAUGUGGAAUGCUGGCAUUCUGGCUGGGAAAUCCUGUCGACUCCAUUUACUAGUUGUGUGAUCUGGAAGAAGUGACUUCACUUUUCUAAGGCUGUUUCCUCACCUGUAAAAUGGAGAUAAUCACAGUACCUCCCAGGUAGAAUGCAAAGGUAGGAUAAGACGGUAACAGUAAAGCAUUUAGUAGAGUUCCUGCCACAUAAUGAAUGCUCAAUAAACAAUGAUCAGCAUUCCUCAUUAUAGUAGUACUCCUCACACUAGAGGUGACAUCCAAGUCAAUUAAACCAUUGCUAAGCACUCACAUAUGUCUGGGUCCAGCAGUCUCAAUAAAUGUUUAUUGACCUCCCUCCGUGAGCUCCUCAAGGAAAGAGAUUGUGCUUACAUUGUCCUGAUUUUGGCCUGCAGUAGAUAGACUGAGACAUGCUCAAAAAAUCACAUUCUGGACUCAAAUAUGAGUAAAAACCUAGAACAGCUACUAGAAUCAUAAUGCCCGUGGCCUACUAGGCGCCAGGCACGGUGUUGGAUGCUGGAGAUAUGGCAACAAGCUUAAAACAAACAUGGCGGCUACUCCUUUCAGGCUGGUGAAACUUAGCAGAGUUGACUGACUUUGUGUCGAUCGUUGCACAGACAGAUGGAACAUUGCAACUGAGAAGUGUAUCACAACAGAGAGGGGCACAGGGCUCUCGGGUAUAUAAUGUGGGCCUGGAGAAGAUGGGGUUGACCUGGGCUGGGCUUGAGGAGGGAAGAGCUGAGCGCUGCGGAAAGAAGAGGUCUUAGCUAAGCUGAGGGUAGGGGAAGUGUUCUCAGCAGAAAAAAUAGCAGAUGCGAAGGUCUCGUGAUGGGGGAGCAUAUGAGCUAAAGGAACUGAAAGAAGGCCUAGUGACCCCAGUACAGUGAGCUGAGGACAGGGGCCCCGGGGAGAAAUCAACUGGGAAAGUAAGUCAGCACUUUGGAAAUUAAGUGGGCCACGUAUAUGGUAAAGCAGAAAAAGGGUGCAACCUAGGAUCCAACAGUUCCAGUUCUAGGAACAUUCUAGAAAAACAGCCACAAGGGCCUCGGGAGGCAUGAGCGAGGAUGUCAGCCCGCGCUGCAUUAUAUGCAGUCUCAAAAAAAUGGGAAACAACCCAACUGUUCGUCAACAGGAGAGUGGUAAAAAUUGCAGAAUAUGUUUUCCUCAGAUUCCUCAGGAAAGGCUGAAUGAAAAGUUAACGUAGUACGGGGAUGCUUGGUUAAGUGUCUGCCUUCGGCUCAGGUCAUGAUUCCAGGAUCCUGGGAUCGGGACCCACAUCGGGCUCCCAGCUGGGCAGGAAGCCUGCUUCUCCCUCUCCCUCUGCUGCUAUGUGGGCUCUCUCUUGACUCUCUCAAAUAAGUAAAAAUAAAACUUAAAAAAAAAAAUUAAAAAUAGGGCAACCUGUUGGGACCCUUCUCACUCUUGACAGCCUUUUCUGUAUCUUCACUUAAUAAACUUCUGUUGAUUUACUCA
This is a long non-coding RNA of Mustela lutreola (European mink), 2501 nucleotides long. RefSeq lists it as uncharacterized. The record is from RefSeq and is a predicted model, not a curated record. The transcript is spliced from 6 exons. Lineage: Eukaryota; Metazoa; Chordata; Mammalia; Carnivora; Mustelidae.